UACUCCUACGGGAGGCAGCAGUGGGGAAUAUUGGACAAUGGGCGCAAGCCUGAUCCAGCAAUGCCGCGUGAGUGAAGAAGGCCUUAGGGUUGUAAAGCUCUUUCGCCCGCGACGAUGAUGACGGUACCUGGAGAAUAGGCUCCGGCUAACUCCGUGCCAGCAGCCGCGGUAAU
RNAcentral lists this ribosomal RNA (173 nucleotides) under uncultured bacterium. RNAcentral's name for it is "partial 16S ribosomal RNA". It matches the Rfam family "Bacterial small subunit ribosomal RNA", at positions 334 to 524 of the family's 1533-position model. The record is from RNAcentral.